CCUACGGGAGGCAGCAGUGGGGAAUUUUCCGCAAUGGGCGAAAGCCUGACGGAGCAAUACCGCGUGAGGGACGAAGGCUUUUGGGUCGUAAACCUCUUUUCUCAGGGAAGAUAGUGACGGUACCUGAGGAAUAAGCAUCGGCUAACUCUGUGCCAGCAGCCGCGGUAAUACAGAGGAUGCAAGCGUUAUCCGGAAUGAUUGGGCGUAAAGCGUCCGCAGGUGGUUUUAUAAGUCUGUUGUUAAAGCGUUAGGCUCAACCUAAUAAGGGCAAUGGAAACUAUUGAACUAGAGUACGUUCGGGGCAGAGGGAAUUCCCAGUGUAGCGGUGAAAUGCGUAGAGAUUGGGAAGAGCACCGGUGGCGAAAGCGCUCUGCUAGGCCUGUACUGACACUGAGGGACGAAAGCUAGGGGAGCGAAUGGGAUUAGAUACCCCAGUAGUCCUAGCCGUAAACGAUGGAUACUAGGCGUUGCCCGUAUCGACCCGGGCAUUGUCGUAGCUAACGCGUUAAGUAUCCCGCCUGGGGAAUACGCACGCAGNGUGAACUACAAGAAGUUAGUACGGACGUGAGACGNGCCGAACGGACGACGACGAGGGAGUAGG
RNAcentral lists this ribosomal RNA (601 nucleotides) under uncultured bacterium. RNAcentral describes it as "bacterial SSU rRNA". It matches the Rfam family "Bacterial small subunit ribosomal RNA", at positions 338 to 1414 of the family's 1533-position model. The record is from RNAcentral.